Long non-coding RNA from Pangasianodon hypophthalmus (striped catfish), 1182 nucleotides. RefSeq lists it as uncharacterized. Lineage: Eukaryota; Metazoa; Chordata; Actinopteri; Siluriformes; Pangasiidae. The transcript has 3 exons. The record is from RefSeq and is a predicted model, not a curated record.
GCUCAGUGUGUGUCACCUGACUGACUUACCAAGCCGUUGCUUGUUUAGUGUGAUCCUGGUGAAUGAAUGAAUGAAUGAAUGAAUGAAUGAAUGAAUGAAUGAAUGAAUGAAUGAAUCAAUCAAUCUGUUUCCUGGUUUCUGUGUCCUGGCUUUGCUGCUGUUUGCCUGCAUCCUUGCCUGUUUUUUUGACCUUGAACCUGCCUCUUGUUUUGGGAUUGUUUAAAAUGGGACAUUAAACUCUGUUUGCAUCUGCCCCAGCCCUUCCACUGUGACAUUUGGAAUGUUCAACAGGAAGUUAUCGUCCAAAUUUCUUGAUCAUGAGAAGAAGAAAAAGCAACCUCCAUAUCCACUCGAGCUGUGAUUCAUUCCGAAGAGCAAACCCACAUACCAAAUGUUUUUGAAGUUGCCUGAAGUUUGAAUUAAGCUCCAGACUGUUUGUGUGAGCUCAAUUUAUGAGUGAAGUGGGACCACACUAUGGCUUCAUCAAUCUGAAUAAGAGUGCUGCUGAAUCAGAUACACAGAGAAACAAAGAGCUCCAAGUCACUUGUCAUCAUGUCAGCGCGCACAGGAAGCAGCAGCUCACACACCUCCGAUAUAAUAAGAACCAACAGUCUUCUGUAAACAAACCCCUGACAGUCUUCGACUCCAUACCUGCAUACUCCAGAGAGUGUGAGAAUCACAAAGUAUGCCUGGAGAGCAUUCUCGUGGUCUCUCGCUCAUACACUGCUCUUUACUUUCUGGCACAUUGUGGCUUUUGUGAUUGAGCUUGUUUAAACAUUUCACUUCUGCAGUUUGCCUUGUCUAAAAUCCGUAUAUACUGAAAGUCUCGGCAGAUUCACAUUCAAACUUUGAGACUACAUUCAAAGCUGAAGCAUACACUGUCUCAUUUCCUGACACUCUCAAGGUUUCUAUGAAAAACACACCAACUUGGCUACAAAUAAAACAGCGUUCAAAUUGACAUUGUAUGCUGGAGCGGAUUGGUGAAAGGGAAUGUUUUGCAAAUCAUAAAGCAAGUGUGACUGCUAAAGUUUGUGCUACUGUUUGUGCUAAAGGCUAUGUCUAAUUUUCCAUACUACUCUUUGGGAAAGACAAGCUGUGACUGUUUUUCUUUUUAUAUCAGUCUCUUUUUUUUAAUAUAUUUUUCAUUUUUAAAUUCUCAUGCUUAUGUUAAAUCAUAUUAAA